GGAUGCGAUCAUACCAGCACUAAAGCACCGGAUCCCAUCAGAACUCCGAAGUUAAGCGUGCUUGGGCUAGAGUAGUACUAGGAUGGGUGACCUCCUGGGAAGUACUCCUGUUGCAUUCC
RNAcentral lists this ribosomal RNA (119 nucleotides) under Triticum aestivum (bread wheat). The record is from RNAcentral. Lineage: Eukaryota; Viridiplantae; Streptophyta; Magnoliopsida; Poales; Poaceae.